UACGUAGGUGGCAAGCGUUGUCCGGAUUUACUGGGCGUAAAGGGCGUGCAGGCGGUUUGUUAAGUGCAGAGUGAAAGCUCCCGGCUCAACUGGGAGAGUCUUUGCAUACUGGCAAACUCGAGGGAGGCAGAGGAAAGUGGAAUUCCCGGUGUAGUGGUGAUAUGCGUAGAUAUCGGGAGGAACACCUGUGGCGAAGGCGGCUUUCUGGGC
This 210-nucleotide ribosomal RNA is filed under the name uncultured bacterium. RNAcentral describes it as "partial 16S ribosomal RNA". It matches the Rfam family "Bacterial small subunit ribosomal RNA", at positions 524 to 734 of the family's 1533-position model. The record is from RNAcentral.